Small nuclear RNA from Molossus molossus (Pallas's mastiff bat), 160 nucleotides. RefSeq annotates it as U1 spliceosomal RNA. The transcript has a single exon. Lineage: Eukaryota; Metazoa; Chordata; Mammalia; Chiroptera; Molossidae. The record is from RefSeq and is a predicted model, not a curated record.
AUAGUUACUUGGCAGAGAAGAUAUCAGAACCCCAAAGUGGUUUUCCCAGGGCGAGGCUCACCCAUUGCAUUCUGGGUGUGUUGAGUCUUGUGAUUUCCCCAAAUGUGAAAAGCUCACUGCAUAAUUUGUGGUAGUGGCAGACUGUGUUUGUGCUCUCCCC